AAACAGCAGACUAGGAGAAGUUCUCACAGUUCCAAAUCACAGCAAAGUACGUGAUGAAAUAUAGCAAGAUGAACUAGGUACAUAUGGGCUGAUUACAUCUCAAGCUAAUACUGCAAACAAGGAACUCCCAGGUUUUCACAAAUUCCCUCUGCCACAAGUCACUCAUUUUGUCACCAUGUGUUUCAAAAUCAAUAUGAGAAAGAAAAAGGGUGGAGGGUAGGAAGCUGUGAAACAGGCUGUGGCUGGGAAAAUGCCCCGUCAUACCUUUAGUUGAAAAUAUACUCCAAAAAAUAUCAGAAGCUAUUCUAGGAAAAUCACUUAUCAAUGAGAUUGCCAUAUUCAUACCUGGGCAGCACAAUGAGUAGUUUUGUUUGAUGUGUUUGUAAACUAUUAGAAGUCUUCAUGGCAAGUGUGAAAAUCAGGAAUUCUGUCACUGUGUUAAGCUAGUUUAUAAACAGAGCAUAUGUUACAUUCAGAUUUUUCUGAGCUGAGGAGGGUUAGCUUCUCACACAGAGAAUCCCAAUGCCCUCAGCAUGUGUUCAGCUUGUACUCAGUAGUAACCUCUUCAGAAAGGCAAUUCUAAUAGGGAGGGAUCAUUAAGGCCGUAGUAGGGCUUUAGGCACCUCGGCAGCACAUCUGUAUUUUACCUGGAUUUACUCCCCCCCACACACAGCAGGAGUCCACUCAGGAGCCAGGGCAGCACUUACUGUGUAAGCAUUUAUUGUGUAAGCAGAAUGCUAUGAUGUAGCAGCUGUGUUACAAUUAUCACUGUUUGUCCAAAAACCACGUGAACAUGUUUGCUGGACUCAGUACCAACUGAGCCAAGGUGGUUUAAACAAGAGAAUCACUUUCCUUUCUCCGUGAGUCCAGAGCUUUUAUUUUAGUCACUUGAUUUUGCCGCACUUGGAUUUCUCCAUAAGAUGUUGACAUCUACACCAGCAGAAAACCGGUAGCCUGCACUUUUCUGCAGGGAUGCUUUAGCCCGAUCAACAUAGACUUCAGCAGUCUCUGCAAGGAACGUGUAGCACUACAACUUUAGCCUCAAGGUAUAGGCACUGAGAUUGUGUCCCAGGAAUGUGGCUAAGGAAAAUCAAUUUUUUCUUCAACACCCUUCAAAGACUGUGCUAAAUAGGAUAUAUGAGAUACUCCUUUUCACUGUUUUCAGGGGCUUCCGCCUCUGCUGUGGAUGGCUACAAAGGUCUCUUCCACACAAGACAAACUGAUGAACUCAGUUUGUAGAGGGAAGGGAAUGGAGGAGAAGCUGGCUGUACACAAAGUGCUGUUACAUCCGCAAAGCAAAUACACAUGCAGUGACCUUAGGUGUUAUCUGUAAGUGUCACAGAACUAGCCUCUUGCACCCAAAUGCUGCACCGCUGAAACCACCAAGAAUUUUUUAUGGUGUUCAGUAGGUAUCAAGAAGAAAGAAAAACUUUACAACAAAAUUAAUCAAAGAAAAGCCAAGUAUUAUCCUCAGAGAGCUGCAUCUCAGUCUUAUGACAAGUACAGAAAAAAGAAAAAAAAAAAGGAAGAAAAAUUCACGACAGCAUCUUGGACAAAUUCUCAAGUGUGCUGUAACAUAAUCAGUGUGUUCAAAGUCCCUUGCAGAGAAUAAGCAGGCUAUCUUGAUUUGUGUCAUGGUCCUCAGUGUUUUAUCUGACUCUGCUAAGUAAGUUUCAAAUCACUGUGUCAGUAAAAAAGAAAACCAAAGCAUUUUCUUAUUCCACUGUCAGAUUUUAAGUCCCUGGCAGGUAGAAGUGUAGAUCCAACAUGUCUGGACAGAUACAUUCUGCAGUGCUCAGAAUCCAAAAAGCAUUUUUUCUAUGGGUUUGCUCACUUCUUUGCCCCGUUCCCGCUGAUGUCAUAGCAGUAUGACAAGGUUAGCUUUGACCUAAACUGGCUGAGGAUUUAUGACAGCCAGAGAUGUGGCACAGUAAGUUUGGCAAUCCCAAGGAAAACAGCCUGUUUGCAUGUGGGACCUCAAAGCUACAGCUACUGAUUUUGCUGGGAGGCUAAAGCAUUAAGAUUGGCAUGAAUCUCUGUUGAAUUUUUGGGGGGUCUGCUUAAAGUGAAAAAGAUGUAUAGAAACCUCCCUUCAGAAUGCUGUGCCAUUUCCUAGCCUUCUUUCUUCACCUUUUGCCCACUCCUAUCACCUCCGAAACCAUGCUGCCUUUGGGAGCAGAAGUAUGUGCAGGGGAUGGCAGCUCAGGAACAGCCCUGCUUCCUUGCAGCAGCUCUGAGCAGGCUGCUUCCUGCUUUGAAAUGUCCUUUGCAGGCAGCAGAAAUGGCAAUGCUGGUGAUUUAGUAUUGACUGAGGUUGACAAGCGCAACCCGCUAGGUACUUUCUAAAGGCAGAGGAUGACACAGUCUUAUCUAAGCAUAAAGGGUGGGGGAAAAGUAUGUCCAAGAAAAUUGAUCCGGGUGCUGAGAGACAUAAGUCUAAUUAGUUAUGGUGGAUGUUUAUGCUUUUCUCUCUCUCAUUUUUCAAUUAAAGGUAACUUUCACAUAUCCUUUUGCUUCUCCCA
This is a long non-coding RNA of Phasianus colchicus (ring-necked pheasant), 2522 nucleotides long. RefSeq lists it as uncharacterized. The record is from RefSeq and is a predicted model, not a curated record. Lineage: Eukaryota; Metazoa; Chordata; Aves; Galliformes; Phasianidae.